ACAGACCUGGCAGCUCGGGCUGUCAUACAUCUGCAGAUCUGCGUUUUCGUCGUGGCGUUAAUUCCUCCUAAAGCUACGGGCUUUCCCGAUAUGGUAACAAUUACCAGCACUAUGAAAAAUACACUUCAUCAAACAGAAUCAAGAAACAAACGGUCGGUUGUUUCUGCACUGUUCCACCAGUUCGGCUCCUAGUACUGGCUAUAAAUACCAAUACUUCAAAUUCAGCUAGAAGGUACACGUCACCUGUAUAUUGCUUCCGAUAAAUUAUACAUCCUAAACCAGACCGGCUGAAUGUACUGUGUCAGGAUAAAAGUAAGUCAGCCAAGAUACCGGAUGACAGAAAGCCAACGGUAUCUGGCACAUCCAACAACGGAUCGUUACGGAUAUCCUGUCGGUUUAAGCAUGGUAAAAGUUGCAAGGAACAAUAUAAUCAAACGAAACGUGAGCUUAGCGAGUACUGCAACGGUGUCGAAGACCAUUGUGUGAUUGGCUUGGUAGACACUGGUUACUGUUCAUUGAUCCUGUGGUAAGACAUUCGUUUCAUUCCGGAACAAUUCUGCACGCCAGACGAAUUUGCAGUAUAUUGCAAGCUAAAGCACCAGCCAAACAACUCUAACGGAUGAGGCAAGUUCGGACUUUAUCGGUCGACCAACAGUUAUUCCGUCUCCUAGAUACCGAAAGAAGUAUGCAUGAUAGAUGGCGUUGCAACUAAUGUAUGACUUUUAGUGAGCUCUACAUCGGAAAAGUUGAAAACGGAAGAUCGAUUGGUGGUUUUGCGAGUUAUGUCACCAGAAGAAUUUUAUGUCAGUCGAAUGCUGUGUUUUAAUAAACCUAAAAUUUAUUUGCAUUAGUUUUUUUUUCUGUACCGUAAUCGCAGUGAUUAUAUUGCACAUCCUUGAUUUAUUUG
Molecule: long non-coding RNA, 907 nt
Organism: Topomyia yanbarensis
Lineage: Eukaryota; Metazoa; Arthropoda; Insecta; Diptera; Culicidae
Exons: 3
Source: RefSeq, a predicted model, not a curated record